Molecule: long non-coding RNA, 490 nt
Filed under: Vigna radiata
Lineage: Eukaryota; Viridiplantae; Streptophyta; Magnoliopsida; Fabales; Fabaceae
Description: long non-coding RNA (VRAD_LNC010639)
Source: RNAcentral
UUUGUUAACACGCUCAACAUCAAUAGGAAACCCAUCUCUCGUUGUUGGAGAAGCAUUUUCCUCUCUUUUGAAUAAAAUGGGCUUUUUGGGUCCAGAAUCUGGUGGCCCCAAAUCAUUUAGAGGUUGAGAUACAGUAGCUCCGCCACGACCAGCUGGAAGUUUGUUAACAUGCUCAACAUCAAUAUGAAAACCUUCUCUCGUUGUUGGAGAAGCAUUGUCCUCUCUUUUGAAUAAAAUGGGCAUUUUCGGUCCAGAAUCUGGUGGCCCCAAAUCAUUUGGAGGUUGAGGUACAGUAGCUCGGCCACGACCAGCAGGUGACCGCAAAUCAUUUGGAGGUUGAGGUACAAUACCUCGGCCACGGCCAGCAGGUGAUUGCAAAUCAUUUUGAUAGUGGGGCACAGUAGCCCGGCCUCGACCAGCUUGUGGCUGAUUUAUGGAAGAUAAAAUUGAUGAGAAAGAAGGAAGGCCUGGCGGACGGAUUGGCUUGCCA